This 458-nucleotide ribosomal RNA is filed under the name uncultured bacterium. RNAcentral describes it as "bacterial SSU rRNA". It matches the Rfam family "Bacterial small subunit ribosomal RNA", at positions 28 to 482 of the family's 1533-position model. The record is from RNAcentral.
GACGAACGCUGGCGGCGUGCCUAACACAUGCAAGUCGAACGGAGAUACUUUUGAGGAGACUUCGGUCAACGAGACUGUAUCUUAGUGGCGGACGGGUGAGUAACGCGUGAGCAAUCUGCCUUUCAGAGGGGGAUAACAUUCUGAAAAGAAUGCUAAUACCGCAUAACGUACCGAGAUGGCAUCAUCAUGGUACCAAAGGAGCAAUCCGCUGAAAGAUGAGCUCGCGUCUGAUUAGAUAGUUGGUGGGGUAACGGCCUACCAAGUCGACGAUCAGUAGCCGGACUGAGAGGUUGAACGGCCACAUUGGGACUGAGACACGGCCCAGACUCCUACGGGAGGCAGCAGUGGGGAAUAUUGCACAAUGGGCGCAAGCCUGAUGCAGCAACGCCGCGUGAGGGAAGACGGUCUUCGGAUUGUAAACCUCUGUCCUUGGUGAAGGAAUAAAUGACGGUAGCCUU